RNAcentral lists this long non-coding RNA (1224 nucleotides) under Marmota monax (woodchuck). Lineage: Eukaryota; Metazoa; Chordata; Mammalia; Rodentia; Sciuridae. The record is from RNAcentral.
GUUACCCAGAGUGACUAUUAGUAAGCUCUGGUUUCACCAGAACCCUCCCAAGUGGUAUUUGCUCACAUGGCCAGAAGUUCAGAUCAGAGAGGGGCUUUGCUGCCUUGGCAGAGAUUAAAGUCUGUGCUAUCUACGACAGUAGCAGUCUCAUUGUUAGUUAGAAAUCAUCACUUGUCAGGUGGUAAAAUAAAGACAGAUCUAUUUAAGAGAUGCAAUGUAGAAGUAAAAACAUAUCAUCUCUGAAAGGCUAGUUACAGGAAGCUAAAAUGAUUACAGCUAAGAAUCACUUAUAUUUGGAAAAUGCAAGAAAUCCAUUGUGCUUAAAUACUACUGCAUUUGAUAUGUUGCCUCAUUGAAUUAUAUAUUGUAUUUUUGGCUAUCAGCAGUGUCUAUCGCUAUAUGUUUUAUUAAACUUGGUUUCCAAAAGGAAUAUUAGUAUUUUGAAUCAUUUUAUUAACCAUAAAAAAUUUUAUAUUUUUCUUAAGGUUAGUUGGUUAAGAUAGGCUGGUUCUUGGCAUUUUUUCCAAAGAUAAGACUUUAGCUUUUGCAUCUCUAAAUUUAGUAGAAGGUUAUAGUUCAAAGAAAAAGUUCAAAAUGUCUCUGUGAUUAAUUAGAGCAAAAUCCUUUUUACUUUGACUUUUGGCAUUGUGCCAUGUGCUUUAUCAAACAUCAAGAAUUAUCUUGAUCUUUAGAACACCUUUAUGGAACGGAAAUAACAGCCUUAAAGCUGAUAAUAGAAGAACAGAUGCAAAUGCAUAAAACAGCUGUUCUAUUUAGCUAUGCAUUAUAAUGCUUUUUAUUUUAGUAACCGUCUGAUUAAAGUUAUCAUUAGGAACAACUGAUAUCUUUCUUGACCUCACCAUAUUUAGAACAAAAUUUAAUAGGAUGAAUCUCCUGACACCUCAUAUUUUGCAACAUCAUUGUACUUCUCACACAGGGCGGGAUAUGGUUAUACAACAAUGGAAACGUAUCUGCUCUCUCAGGACAAUUUCUCUUCUACUUGAGUUUUUCCCACUGAUUUGUGUCACUUGUUCAAGAGUUAAAAAUUACCCUUCAGAACCAACUUGGCUUAUCUCAUGCUGUUGAAGCUGAGGGCCAAUGAAAAGCAAGGUAUAUCUUGCUUUAAAUUUCUUCAUUUUCUUCUUAUUGUUGCAUAAUGAAGUUAUAUCAAAUUAUGUGUUUUUUUCUGAGGUUUUUAUGUUUUGUUCACUCUCUUUAUCAUCC